This 1301-nucleotide long non-coding RNA is filed under the name Vigna radiata. RNAcentral's name for it is "long non-coding RNA (VRAD_LNC015790)". The record is from RNAcentral. Lineage: Eukaryota; Viridiplantae; Streptophyta; Magnoliopsida; Fabales; Fabaceae.
AAGCUGCCACGACCCAACAAUUGGAAACGGUCCAACAGGAGGCUCCCACACGGACUGCACAAGCUGCACUCAUUUUCUUUGGAGCAAACACAAUCUUCACGUCCAGCAGCCUCCAGAAAGCAAGAGCAGCUCACGACCCAUGGACAUCACUUGGCAGCACCACACUGCAACGCACACUAGCUUGGAGUCGAGCAACAUUUGAUGGUGCAACACGUUGAUUUAUCUUCAAGUUGGAGUGUUGACACGGCCCAAAGGUCUGGAUAAAUACGGUGCAACACGUGAAGAGCUUCAUUCCAAAUAAAAUAAGCAACAACAGCUUAUUUUUGGAGAGAGCUACCACGACCCAUGAUUAAAGGGAGAAGGCUGGUCCAGCUGGGAGAGAAAUGAGCAGCUCCAAGUGCUUGAAGAAAUAACUCACACAUUCAUUUCCACAUUGUUGCAGCACACGUCCAACAUGGGUAGCGUAGCACAAUAAUAAUUUGAAGAGGUGGUACGCCCAGCUCGGGUUACAACCAGAUUAGAAAACAUGGUGCAAUCAUUUUUAUAUUAGUGUGAAGAAGUGAUUCAAAUGGGCUUGAGUGUCACGAUCUGGGAGCACCAUGCUGGCUGGAAGAAAAAUAGCUCACGGCCUACACAUGGGAGGUCCAAUAGCCCGUUGCAAAUAGCUUGGAAGGUGCUCCAACAGAUUUGGCAGCAGCUUAUGGGGUGCACACAACAUGUCUCGGCCUGGUUCAGUAGUGUUGCUUCCACAACUAUGCAUCCAGCAUCCAUUCUUCAUUGAGGAACUCCUCAUGGGUCAGAGCCUACAACAGAUUGUUGCAACAACUUCAUUCAUCUAGAUUUUUGGCCCAGCUCUCCACGGUCCAGCAGCUCCUUGUACAGCAUAUUGGAGUGCAAAAGGAAGAAACAUCAAGCACCUGGCAGUAGCUCACGGUUGUAGCCCAUCAGCACUCCUUGGACAACAGCUGGUCCAUGAGCAAUUGGAUUGGAGCAUCCAGAGAAUGCAGCCCACGCUGGCAGACUGAGGAGGACACGAAAACCUAGAAGUUUUUACCGUUACAUUGGCUGGGAGGUAUAGGAUCCAGCCGACACACACUUGGGGAGAAACUUUAUUUUUGCUUUUAAAGAAACAUGGGGUGAUUCGUUGCUGGAAGUUUGAGGUGUCACGGCCAGUAGAUAGUUGCAAGUGGUGAUUUCUUUGAGAGACGACCUAGGAGUCACUUCCUAGUCUAUAGUGCAUUCUUAAUUUGCAAUCAAAUUUGUAUGGGCUACGACAACCCAUAAUAAACCUCCACCGCCUC